UUUUGGGUGUUUCUGCCGGGCCCCCCCGCCAUCGGGAUGGGGGUAAGACAUACUAAUUGUGAGCCUCCAAGCCACCGUGGGGGGGGGGCGGACAGCUCAAUAACACGUGGCUAACCUACCCCUGGGAAGGAGAUAAACCCGGGGAAAAGGGGGUUAAUUCCCAUAGGUGGGGGCUCCUGGAAAGGGUCCUCGCCGAAAGGGAGUCUAGACCAAGCUUUUAGACGCCGCCCAAGGAUGGGGCCGCGGCCGAUCAGGUUGUUGGUGAGGUAACGGCUCACCAAGCCUAUAACCGGUACGGGCCGUGAGAGAGGGAGCCCGGAGAUGGACACUGAGACAAGGGUCCAGGCCCUACGGGGGGCAGCAGGCGGGAAACAUCCCCAAUACGUGAACCGGUUGAUCCCGCCGGACCACAUGUCAACGCGUGUUAAUGGUUUUACCCC
Molecule: ribosomal RNA, 440 nt
Filed under: uncultured crenarchaeote
Lineage: Archaea; Thermoproteati; Thermoproteota
Description: partial 16S ribosomal RNA
Rfam family: Archaeal small subunit ribosomal RNA
Source: RNAcentral